UACGUAGGGUGCAAGCGUUAAUCGGAAUUACUGGGCGUAAAGCGUGCGCAGGCGGUUUUGUAAGUCUGUCGUGAAAUCCCCGGGCUUAACCUGGGAACUGCAUUGGUGACUGGCAGGCUUUGAGUGUGGCAGAGGGAGGUAGAAUUCCACGUGUAGCAGUGAAAUGCGUAGAGAUGUGGAGGAAUACCGGAUGGCGAAGGCAGCCUCCUGGGCCAACACUGACGCUCAUGCACGAAAGCGUGGGGAGCAAACAGG
Molecule: ribosomal RNA, 255 nt
Filed under: uncultured bacterium
Lineage: Bacteria
Description: partial 16S ribosomal RNA
Rfam family: Bacterial small subunit ribosomal RNA
Source: RNAcentral